GUGAGAAUGUUGGCAUCAGUAGCGAGAUGUGGGUGAGAAUCCCACAGGCCGAAAACCUAAGGUUUCCUCAGGAAGGUUCGUCCGCUGAGGGUUAGUCGGGACCUAAGCCGAGGCCGAAAGGCGUAGGUGAUGGACAACUGGUUGAUAUUCCAGUACCACUACCAUCGUUAUUAUCGAUGGCGUGACGCAGGAGGAUAGUGUGUGCUAGCUAUUGGAUGCUAGUCUAAGCGUUUAGGCAGUGAGAGUAGGCAAAUCCGCUCUCAUAAUGCUGAGGCGUGAUGGGGAAGGUUCUACGGAACCGAAGUACAUGAUUCCACGCUGCCAAGAAAAGCGUCUAGAGAGAGAAGUAGUGCCCGUACCGCAAACCGACACAGGUAGGUGAGGAGAGAAUCCUAAGGCCGGCGGAAGAAUUACAGUUAAGGAACUCGGCAAAUUGACCCCGUAAGUUCGCGAGAAGGGGUGCCUACGAGAGUAGGCCGCAGAGAAUAGGCCCAAGCAACUGUUUAGCAAAAACACAGGUCUCUGCUAAAGCGUAAGCUGAUGUAUAGGGGCUGACGCCUGCCCGGUGCUGGAAGGUUAAGGGGAACACUUAGCGCAAGCGAAGGUGUGAACUUAAGCCCCAGUAAACGGCGGCCGUAACUAUAACGGUCCUAAGGUAGCGAAAUUCCUUGUCAGGUAAGUUCUGACCCGCACGAAUGGCGUAAUGACUUGGGCACUGUCUCAACUGUAAAUCCGGCGAAGUUGUAGUGCGAGUGAAGAUGCUCGCUACCCGCGAUUGGACGGAAAGACCCCGUAGAGCUUUACUGUAGCUUAGCAUUGAGUUUUGGUAUUGUCUGUACAGGAUAGGUGGGAGACUAGGAAACCAGGGCGUCAGCCUUGGUGGAGUCAACCUUGGGAUACCACCCUGACAGUACUGAAAUUCUAACUGGCGGCCAUGAAUCUGGUCACAGGACAUUGUUAGGUGGGCAGUUUGACUGGGGCGGUCGCCUCCUAAAAAGUAACGGAGGCGCCCAAAGGUUCCCUCAGAACGGUCGGAAAUCGUUCGAAGAGUGCAAAGGCAGAAGGGAGCCUGACUGCGACACCCACAAGUGGAGCAGGGACGAAAGUCGGGCUUAGUGAUCCGGUGGUACCUCGUGGGAGGGCCAUCGCUCAACGGAUAAAAGCUACCUCGGGGAUAACAGGCUGAUCUCCCCCAAGAGUCCACAUCGACGGGGAGGUUUGGCACCUCGAUGUCGGCUCGUCGCAUCCUGGGGCUGAAGUAGGUCCCAAGGGUUGGGCUGUUCGCCCAUUAAAGCGGCACGCGAGCUGGGUUCAGAACGUCGUGAGACAGUUCGGUCCCUAUCCGUCGCGGGCGUAGGAAAUUUGAGAGGAGCUGUCCUUAGUACGAGAGGACCGGGAUGGACUGACCUCUGGUGUACCAGUUGUUCCGCCAGGAGCACAGCUGGGUAGCUAAGUCGGGAAUGGAUAAACGCUGAAAGCAUCUAAGCGUGAAGCCAACCUCAAGAUGAGAUUUCCCAUAGC
This 1521-nucleotide ribosomal RNA is filed under the name Clostridium perfringens. RNAcentral describes it as "bacterial LSU rRNA". It matches the Rfam family "Bacterial large subunit ribosomal RNA", at positions 1288 to 2820 of the family's 2925-position model. Lineage: Bacteria; Bacillati; Bacillota; Clostridia; Eubacteriales; Clostridiaceae. The record is from RNAcentral.